UUCCAUAAUCAAAAAUUCCAUAAUCAAAAAUACUUAAAACUAAUGUAAAAUGAAGACAAAUACAAAUCAUCAGUUUACCACAAUUCUAAACUAAACUACAAACCCUAGGUAGACCGUAGCUGAUAAAGUCUACUUAAUCUUGCAAGCUAGACGUACAUUACUGAAACCCGACACAAUUCCCAAAGAUGCUGGUACCAGCUUAAACUCAAGCUUACAUGGGGUCACAAAUAAUUGUAAUAACAAUGGCGUUCAGCUAUGGACUUGCCAUGGAGGAUACCUACUGGAUCAACGUCUGUGAAAAAUCAAGUCUUGAAAAGAUGGAAAAACAUUACAGGUGAGAUUUGAGCUCAGAACCACAGCUCCACAGCCAUCAGUUUCACCCCUAGAUAUAUAGUGGGACAUACAUUAGAAGAAGGUAGUGAGCGUACCAUUG
Herpailurus yagouaroundi (jaguarundi) is the source of this 433-nucleotide long non-coding RNA. RefSeq lists it as uncharacterized. The transcript has 3 exons. Lineage: Eukaryota; Metazoa; Chordata; Mammalia; Carnivora; Felidae. The record is from RefSeq and is a predicted model, not a curated record.